Molecule: long non-coding RNA, 2472 nt
Organism: Scomber japonicus (chub mackerel)
Lineage: Eukaryota; Metazoa; Chordata; Actinopteri; Scombriformes; Scombridae
Exons: 2
Source: RefSeq, a predicted model, not a curated record
CCUUCUUUCCUUUCCUCGCUUCCUUCCUCCCUCCCUUCCUUCCUUGACUCAGGAGGGCUAAGGGAAUCAAUUCAACAUGCUGGAUAAAAUUCAGCUCUUCUUAACAAGUUCCCAUGGUUCCUUUGUACAUACUAGAGUGCUUUUAGAGAGACAAAGAAAGGCACUAAAGGCACUCUAGUACACACUUCCAGGUACUCUCUUUCUGGUUACUUUUGUGGUGUGGCAUUUAAAUGUAUCUGAUACAGAAGUAAGAUAUUGGGCCCCAUCUUGCGGUCGGCGCACAGCGAAUGGCGCGCGUGGCGCAUGUCUUUAUUAGUUUCCCCCGGCUCAGUUAUCACUUUCUCGCCCUGUGCCCACGUUGUCUAAAUAGCAAAUGCACUUGCACCAGUCUGUGCGCCUAUGGGUGUGUUGGUCUCUAAAUGAGAUGUGGUCAGGUUCAUUGGUGGCGCGAUGAUAUUCUGAGGCAGAAGAAAGUGUUUGCGCUACUGACCAAAAAAAAAAACAGGUCUGAAGUCACUGGCGCAUAUUUCACUGUUAUUUAAGAGUCUUAUUAUCAAGAGUCCAAUAUGCUCCUAUAGAUAGCUUGUUACCACACGGACGCAGCACACAAACAUGCAAAACAUCACUAAUAAAAGGACCACAAUGUGAAUUCGUAUUGUGGUGUAAAUCAACAUAUUAAAAAUGCAUGUCAUAUUAGUUAGUCAUAAUAUUUAUCAGAUUUAAUUAAUUGUAAAAAAUGGAGAGCGCCGUUGUGGACAGUCCUAACAAAAAAGUCUGUAUAGCCUCUGACAAGAGCGCAGUGCCAUUACGCACAGCCACUCACUGUUUAUUAAAUCACCUGAUGACACCAGACUGCUGCAGUAUAACUACACACACCUCUACACUCAUCACACUGGUUGGUUAUAUCUCCAUAUUCUUCCUUUAUAUGAAUUAAAUGUGAGGUUAGCAGUUAAUCAGCCAACUUUCCUUUCAGCAAAAGUAACUCAUGUUAUAUUAUUGAAACGCAUUGCUGGGUAAAUGUUAUAAUAGCAAUCCACCAAAGUGACAGCGCUCUUUGAUAUUAAAGGGAAUGGGAGAUGACACUCUGAUUGGUUUACUCUGGCGCAGUGACUGUUUUUCCGCCGUUAAAAUAGCAAAAGUGGAUUUGGAUACGCCCCAAAGGCACUUGCGCCACGCGCUUCACGCCAUGAGCCAUUGAUCGUUAAAAUAGGGCCCAUUAUGUUUAAUUCCUCACCUACACUACUGACUGACUGGACUCCUUUAGGAAGGAACUGGUUAAUAUCGUUUGAUAAUGGUUUAAUUACAGUAUCAUCAGUUGAUGUAUUUGACUCGAGCUGAUAAUGUCAGUUAACUGUAUUGGUUAAAAGUAACCAACUGUAAAAAUCAGAAAGUAUCAUUGCAGGAUUUUCUGCAACCUUCCACAGCUUAAACAAGGUAGUGACUUGUUCCAUGGAGAUUCAUUCAUUCAUUGCGUUAACUGAAAAUGUGCUCAUUAAAUGAGUUUGUGUGAUCGCUUUUGAAACUAAUUCAAGAAGAUACAUCAUCAAAAAAAUUCUUCUAAUCAGAGUUAUGACAUCUAUGGAACCCUAACCCAUCACCUCAAAAUCACAAGCACAAAAGAAUCAUUGUUUUCUUGAUAUGAUCUUUAUUAUGAGAAAACAACUUUGUCAUCAUAAAUAAUAAGAACCCUAACUCCUGAUUUUGAGAUAAUGGGUAAAAUAAAAUAAAAAAAAGUUUCCAACUGAUUUGUUUCAUUCCUAGUCACAGAAUGAUCAGUUUGUCUGUUUUUUAUUCUUUAAAACCAUAUAAUAUCCAAUGCCUGAGGUCAGCCCCUAUGAGCAAACCUUAAUAUUGGCUUUGUAACAGAGGGGAAUACUGUGAGCUUAGUUAAUCUAAUGUGAAUCAUGUCUAUCUGUCAAACCUCUGACAGGACCGAGCUGAGCCAGAAACAUAACACUUGAACAACUUUGACUUUCACUGAAGCUGCUUGAUGUUUGUGUUUGAAGUUUGACUUCUGUGCUCGUCUUCCUGCAGUUUCAUCACACACACACAUGCAUAUGAGUUUGCUUAUUGCUUAAUUAUGUGGCAAAGAUUAGGUCAUACUGUUGUUGACAAGAAAUGGUUUCAUUUCAUGUUGUAAUGUCUUAUCUGAAAAAAACCCUAUUUUGUCCUGUGUUCAUUCUGACAGACCGAACAAUGUUCUGAGAUAAACAAGUCAUUUUUUGUUUUUGAUUUGAUUAGAUUUUUUUAUUUAGAUGUAUUUCAUAUCUUCAUAUUUAAUCUCAUCUCUGCACACUGUGCAUUUGUUAAAACUUAUCAGUAAAAGUUUAUUAUGAUCUCAGCAGUGAGCCAGCAGUACAUCAACAGGAGUUAACCUCUAAGGAAUUAACUCAUUUUAUACCACAUUUUAAUAUUAAUAAUGCAUCAUUUAAGACAGAAUUUUGUAAAAAAAAAAAAAAAAAAAAAAGACAA